Molecule: ribosomal RNA, 964 nt
Filed under: uncultured marine bacterium
Lineage: Bacteria
Description: bacterial SSU rRNA
Rfam family: Bacterial small subunit ribosomal RNA
Source: RNAcentral
GUCGAGCGGUAACAGACAUAAAGAUUCAGCUUGCUGAAUCCGGUGCUGACGAGCGGCGAACGGGUGAGUAACGCGUAGGAAUCUACCCAGUAGCGGGGGAUAGCCCGAGGAAACUCGGAUUAAUACCGCAUACGCCCUGAGGGGGAAAGGGGGCAGUUUACUGCUCUCACUAUUGGAUGAGCCUGCGUAAGAUUAGCUUGUUGGUAGGGUAACGGCUUACCAAGGCGACGAUCUUUAGCUGGUCUGAGAGGACGAUCAGCCACAUUGGGACUGAGACGCGGCCCAGACAUCUACGGAUGGCAGCAGUUAAGAAUAUUGGACAAUGGGGGCAACCCUGAUCCAGGUAUACCGCGUGUGUGAAGAAGGCCCUAGGGUUGUAAAGCACUUUAAUCAGUGAAGAAGCAUUUUAAGUUAAUACCUUAUUAUGUUGACGUUACCUGAAGAAUAAGGACCGGCUAACUCCGUGCCAGCAGCCGCGGUAAUACGGAGGGUCCAAGCGUUAAUCGGAAUUACUGGGCGUAAAGCGCGCGUAGGCGGUUUAGCAAGUUGUAUGUGAAAGCCCUGGGCUCAACCUAGGAACUGCAUCCAAAACUACUAAGCUAGAGUACGAGAGAGGAGAGUAGAAUUUCUGGUGUAGCGGUGAAAUGCGUAGAUAUCAGAAGGAAUACCAAUGGCGAAGGCAGCUCUCUGGCUCGUCACUGACGCUGAGGUGCGAAAGCGUGGGUAGCAAACAGGAUUAGAUACCCUGGUAGUCCACGCCGUAAACGAUGACAACUAGCCGUUGGGCAGAUUUAACUGUUCAGUGGCACAGCUAACGCAUUAAGUUGUCCGCCUGGGGAGUACGGCCGCAAGGCUAAAACUCAAAUGAAUUGACGGGGGCCCGCACAAGUGGUGGAGCAUGUGGUUUAAUUCGAUGCAACGCGAAGAACCUUACCAAUCCUUGAAAUCUAGCGAAGCUCGCAGA